UUAAAUUGAAGAGUUUGAUCAUGGCUCAGAUUGAACGCUGGCGGCAGGCCUAACACAUGCAAGUCGAACGGUAACAGGAAGCAGCUUGCUGCUUCGCUGACGAGUGGCGGACGGGUGAGUAAUGUCUGGGAAACUGCCUGAUGGAGGGGGAUAACUACUGGAAACGGUGGCUAAUACCGCAUAACGUCGCAAGACCAAAGAGGGGGACCUUCGGGCCUCUUGCCAUCAGAUGUGCCCAGAUGGGAUUAGCUUGUUGGUGAGGUAACGGCUCACCAAGGCGACGAUCCCUAGCUGGUCUGAGAGGAUGACCAGCCACACUGGAACUGAGACACGGUCCAGACUCCUACGGGAGGCAGCAGUGGGGAAUAUUGCACAAUGGGCGCAAGCCUGAUGCAGCCAUGCCGCGUGUAUGAAGAAGGCCUUCGGGUUGUAAAGUACUUUCAGCGGGGAGGAAGGUGUUGUGGUUAAUAACCACAGCAAUUGACGUUACCCGCAGAAGAAGCACCGGCUAACUCCGUGCCAGCAGCCGCGGUAAUACGGAGGGUGCAAGCGUUAAUCGGAAUUACUGGGCGUAAAGCGCACGCAGGCGGUCUGUCAAGUCGGAUGUGAAAUCCCCGGGCUCAACCUGGGAACUGCAUUCGAAACUGGCAGGCUUGAGUCUUGUAGAGGGGGGUAGAAUUCCAGGUGUAGCGGUGAAAUGCGUAGAGAUCUGGAGGAAUACCGGUGGCGAAGGCGGCCCCCUGGACAAAGACUGACGCUCAGGUGCGAAAGCGUGGGGAGCAAACAGGAUUAGAUACCCUGGUAGUCCACGCCGUAAACGAUGUCUACUUGGAGGUUGUGCCCUUGAGGCGUGGCUUCCGGAGCUAACGCGUUAAGUAGACCGCCUGGGGAGUACGGCCGCAAGGUUAAAACUCAAAUGAAUUGACGGGGGCCCGCACAAGCGGUGGAGCAUGUGGUUUAAUUCGAUGCAACGCGAAGAACCUUACCUGGUCUUGACAUCCACGGAAGUUUUCAGAGAUGGACUGGUGCCUUCGGGAACUGUGAGACAGGUGCUGCAUGGCUGUCGUCAGCUCGUGUUGUGAAAUGUUGGGUUAAGUCCCGCAACGAGCGCAACCCUUAUCCUUUGUUGCCAGCGGUUCGGCCGGGAACUCAAAGGAGACUGCCAGUGAUAAACUGGAGGAAGGUGGGGAUGACGUCAAGUCAUCAUGGCCCUUACGACCAGGGCUACACACGUGCUACAAUGGCGCAUACAAAGAGAAGCGACCUCGCGAGAGCAAGCGGACCUCAUAAAGUGCGUCGUAGUCCGGAUUGGAGUCUGCAACUCGACUCCAUGAAGUCGGAAUCGCUAGUAAUCGUGGAUCAGAAUGCCACGGUGAAUACGUUCCCGGGCCUUGUACACACCGCCCGUCACACCAUGGGAGUGGGUUGCAAAAGAAGUAGGUAGCUUAACCUUCGGGAGGGCGCUUACCACUUUGUGAUUCAUGACUGGGGUGAAGUCGUAACAAGGUAACCGUAGGGGAACCUGCGGUUGGAUCACCUCCUUA
RNAcentral lists this ribosomal RNA (1544 nucleotides) under Salmonella enterica subsp. enterica serovar Weltevreden str. 2007-60-3289-1. Its description in RNAcentral is "16S ribosomal RNA". It matches the Rfam family "Bacterial small subunit ribosomal RNA". The record is from RNAcentral. Lineage: Bacteria; Pseudomonadati; Pseudomonadota; Gammaproteobacteria; Enterobacterales; Enterobacteriaceae.